This 253-nucleotide ribosomal RNA is filed under the name uncultured bacterium. RNAcentral describes it as "partial 16S ribosomal RNA". It matches the Rfam family "Bacterial small subunit ribosomal RNA", at positions 524 to 776 of the family's 1533-position model. The record is from RNAcentral.
UACAGAGGUCUCAAGCGUUGUUCGGAUUCAUUGGGCGUAAAGGGUGCGUAGGCGGCGCGGUAAGUCGGAUGUGAAAUCUCGGAGCUUAACUUCGAAACUGCAUUCGAUACUGCCGUGCUUGAGGACUGGAGAGGAGACUGGAAUUUACGGUGUAGCGGUGAAAUGCGUAGAUAUCGAGAGGAACACCUGCGGCGAAGGCGGGUUGCUGGGCCGACACUGACGCUGAUGCGCGAAAGCCAGGGGAGCGAACGGG